This 420-nucleotide ribosomal RNA is filed under the name Triticum aestivum (bread wheat). Its description in RNAcentral is "partial small subunit ribosomal RNA". Lineage: Eukaryota; Viridiplantae; Streptophyta; Magnoliopsida; Poales; Poaceae. The record is from RNAcentral.
AUGGGCAUUUCUUUGGACCAGUGCCGCAAGAACAUGUCACUUGAGGGGGUAUGCAGUCUAAUGUCUAGAGGCUCAAGAUACAAGACCAAGCUUGUUAUCUUCCCAAGUUGUGCUCGCAAGUACACGGUAUGGUGCCUAUUUCUUUUUCUCUUUGUAUUUUAUAUGUUCAUAUGUUUGCACCUGCUUAACCGCUCUCUUGUUCCAAGGCUGAUGAUUCUACUCCAGAUGAGCUUUCUACGACCAUCCAAGUCGACCAUCACUCGCGGCAGCAAGAAGCACUUGGUCGAAGUUGUGAAGGCUGUAGAUGACGUGAAGGCGUACAAGGUAUAUGGCAAGCUCCGUGUUGAGAGGAUGAACUGGCACCAAUUAGGAGCUUGGGUGAAGAUGGCUACCCGCAUGAAGAAAGAGGAGAAGAAGUGA